UUCAAUGGGCGGGCCAUGGCGAGGGAGCCGCAAGGCUCGCCGGUUUGGUUCAUCGCCCGGUCUCUCAAACUCGCCAUGUGCCCGCUCACCCUC
Molecule: non-coding RNA, 93 nt
Filed under: Paraburkholderia sp. BL17N1
Lineage: Bacteria; Pseudomonadati; Pseudomonadota; Betaproteobacteria; Burkholderiales; Burkholderiaceae
Source: RNAcentral